GGGCCCGCACAAGUAGUGGAGCAUGUGGUUUAAUUCGAAGAUACGCGCAGAACCUUACCUGGCCUUGACAUGCAUCUCUAAGUGUGUGAAAGCACAUGACCCCUCGGGGAAUUUGCACAGGUGCUGCAUGGCUGUCGUCAGCUCGUGUCGUGAGAUGUUGGGUUAAGUCCCGCAACGAGCGCAACCCUUAUGUUUUGUUGCCACUUUCGCUUCGGCGGAAAGCACUCUAAACAGACUGCCUCGUCUCAACGAGGAGGAAGGUGGGAUGACGUCAAGUCAGUAUGGCCCUUACGGCCAGGGCUGCACACGUACUACAAUGCCCAGUACAAUGGGAAGCAAUACCGCGAGGUGGAGCAAAUCCUCAAAACUGGGCCCAGUUCAGAUUGUAGUCUGCAACUCGACUACAUGAAGUCGGAAUC
RNAcentral lists this ribosomal RNA (419 nucleotides) under uncultured bacterium. RNAcentral describes it as "bacterial SSU rRNA". It matches the Rfam family "Bacterial small subunit ribosomal RNA", at positions 917 to 1333 of the family's 1533-position model. The record is from RNAcentral.